UACGGGAGGCAGCAGUGGGGAAUGGACAAUGGGGGAAACCCUGAUCCAGCCAUCCUGCGUGCGAUGAAGCGCCUUCAAGAAAAGCACUUUUGGCAGGAAAGAAACGGCAUUACCUCGUGCAACUGACGGUACCUGCAGAAUAAGCACCGGCUAACUACGUGCCAGCAGCCGCGGUAAUACGUAGGGUGCAAGCGUUAACGGAAUUACUGGGCGUAAGCGUGCGCAGGCGGUUCUGGAAAGAAAGAUGUGAAAUCCCAGAGCUAACUUUGGAACUGCAUUUUUAACUACUGAGCUAGAGUGUCAGAGGGAGGUGGAAUUCGUGUGUAGCAGUGAAAUGCGUAGAUAUGCGGAGGAACAGAUGCGGCGAAGGCAGCCUCUGGGAUAACACUGACGCUCAUGCACGAAAGCGUGGGGAGCAACACAGGAUUAGAUACCCCCGUAGU
RNAcentral lists this unclassified non-coding RNA (443 nucleotides) under uncultured Bordetella sp. RNAcentral's name for it is "partial 16S-23S ribosomal RNA intergenic spacer". It matches the Rfam family "Bacterial small subunit ribosomal RNA", at positions 340 to 794 of the family's 1533-position model. The record is from RNAcentral. Lineage: Bacteria; Pseudomonadati; Pseudomonadota; Betaproteobacteria; Burkholderiales; Alcaligenaceae.